GACGAACGCUGGCGGCGUGCCUAAUACAUGCAAGUCGAACGGACGGGCGAGAAGUUUGCUUCCUGGAUGAGUGCCGCACGGGGGAGUAACACGUGUGUAACCUGCACCUAUAAGAGGGAUAAAUCUUGGAAACACCGGCUCUUACAGCAUAUAAUAUUUUGAUGCAUGUUGGUCAAUAGAAAGAUACGGUCGUUCUGUUACGAAUUGAUGCUUCCGCGCUUCAUUAGCUGGUUGGUAAGGUAACGGCCUACCAAGGCAAGGAUGGAUUGCCGACGGGAGUGGGGGAUAGCCCACCCGGGAAGUGAGACACGGUCCAGACUCCUACGGGAGGCACCAGAAGGCAACCUUAGGCAAUGGGCGAAAGCCUGACGGAGCAAGCCGGCGUGAGUGAUAAAGGUCUCGGGUUCGUAAAACCCGUUUUUUGGGAAUAAACAGAUUUGGAAUGAAAUGUGCACAUCGUGACGGUACCUAAUCAGAAAGCAACGGCUAACUACGUG
RNAcentral lists this ribosomal RNA (497 nucleotides) under uncultured bacterium. RNAcentral's name for it is "partial 16S ribosomal RNA". It matches the Rfam family "Bacterial small subunit ribosomal RNA", at positions 28 to 507 of the family's 1533-position model. The record is from RNAcentral.